This 4258-nucleotide long non-coding RNA is filed under the name Brassica napus (rape). RNAcentral's name for it is "long non-coding RNA (BNAP_LNC019655)". Lineage: Eukaryota; Viridiplantae; Streptophyta; Magnoliopsida; Brassicales; Brassicaceae. The record is from RNAcentral.
GGCAACGGAAAAAGAAGCGUUUGGGUGCGGAGGAAGCAAAUCAAUCCCUAAACCCGAAAAAUAGCCAAAGGGGAAACCUGAGAGAGAGAAACGAAACGAAGAAGACGAAGAGCAGCAAGCAACAGUAGAAAGAGCAACGAAAGGAGAAGACGAAGAUGUUACCCACAACUUCCAGAUCUCGCUCUUCUUCUUCAUCAUCCCGAGCUAACCCAAUGUUCCUCCAGUAUUUUCGUCGCAUCGUCAAGGUUCUCUUUUUAAUCGCGAUCUCAGAUAUUGAUCGAUUUUCAUCAACUGAUAUUGCGAAAAAUACAUAGAUUCGUAAUUUCUUAGAUCGAAUUAUGAGAUAUUUUGCAUCCCUUGAUAGCCUCUAGGUUUUUGUUGAAGUACUUGCUUGAAUCUGAUGAUUACAUUUUUGUAGCUUCGGAAUCUGUAAGCACUUGAGGCAAUUAUGAUUUGUCUGUCUCAGAGGAGGAUGUGAAUAAUCUUAGCCGAAUACGCUAUGCUGCAUAUCGCAUCAUGUUCGAGUUUGUGAUAAUCCUUUUCUCCAUUGCAGUGGCAACAAAUGGAUAUUGAAUAUACUUUCUGGCAAAUGCUUAACCUUUGUACAUCUCCCAAAGUUGUGUACGUCUUUUUGAAUUUCCUUUUUCUAUGCCCCACUUUGAGGACAGGUUUCUCUAUAUACUUUAAAGUUUUUGCAUUUGAAUGAAUGAUAAAGAGUGACUCAUGCAUCUCAAAUUUCACAACUGGAAUAGUGACACAGGCUUUUACUACAGAGCUUAUUGGAAUAGACUUUGAGAUUGUCUCACUUCAAAUUUCUUAUUCUUGUCCAUUUUGUAUGUUUUGCAUGUGAACGCAACUACGGCAUCAGCUAUCAACACACUAAGUACCACAAACGUAAGCUCAGCUUUCAUUACCAUACUGCAAUCAGCUUUAUCAAUUUGUGGUCUUAUUUAAUAUGAAUAUGUUACUUGCAGAGAAGCAUCUUCUUUGUGAGUUUUCUUGUUUGCCGUCUUUAUUAAUAUACCUCCCCUGGUCUAAUACUAUUUCCUUAAUGCUAGUGCCUGUUAAGAAUAAGCUAAAGCUUUGCUAAUGGCAUUGUAAAUAUAAGUGAGUUUCUUUUUCUUUCUUUCUUUCUCUCAGAAACGAAAAACCAAUGGGCACGUGAUGACCCUGCUUUUAUUGUGAUCUGUAGCCUGCUUCUCAUUCUUGCAACUUUAGCCUACUGUGCCACGUAAGUAUUUUGUAAAUGUGCAUCUUUUAGAAUUUGAGAGUUAAAAUUAUUUCCUUGGAAAACUACUUUGUUCUGUUUUUUGUUAUUGCUUUUGACUGUAAUCUGUCGUCCCUGCUUCAGGUAUGACCAUAGUGGCUCUCAUGCUGUCGUCGUAGUUAUAUCAGUUUUCCUUACUCAUUUCUUAAUCACGGGAGCACUUAUAGCUACAUGCUGUUGGUAAGUAUGUUCUAUCGGUGCAUUAGACAUGGAUAUUUGUUGGUGCAAGCUCUUACAUCGCUUAAAUGUUUUGUUUGCAACAAUGUGUCUGUGGUAUUGGUGCUAAUUUGAUCAUAUUUAUAGUGCAAGACAAACACUCUUAAUAUUUUGUACUAAAUCUCCUCUUACGAACGUUGCCAGCCUAGUGAAAUUCGCUCUUGCAAGAAUCUUAGUCCUUCUGUAUAGUUUCCUUGUAAUACCAUUGCAGUUUGAUUGGUUUCUUAUAUCAAAUCUACAAUGUCUCUCUGACUUGAGGUAUGGAUUAUAAGGUUUCUGACGAACUCUUACCUGCGUGAGGAGGCUCCAAACAGUCAUGUGGUGGAACAACGCGUUGAAUGGUAAGUUUAUUGACUGACUGGUCUCUUAUCCUUGUUAUUAUUAUCAUUAUUGUUAUUUUGAUUUUGUCUCUCUCUCUAAGAUAGAGUUCAGUAUCCAUAUUCCAUAUCAUUGUUUCUCGCUGUCCACGUGAGCUUGUCAUUAACAAGUUGUUAAUGAUUUGGCUUCUAUGUAUACUUACUCUAGGCUGUAUACAUUUGAUGUUCACUGCAACUCCUUCUUUCCAAUGUUUGUGCUACUCUACGGUAAUAUCACUCAGUUCUCAAAACAGAAUCUCCGCAAAAGAAGAUUGUGUCUAUGACUUAUAGUUUCUUCUUGUGUUGCUACAGUCGUACAUUAUUUUCUAUCACCAUUCCUGAUAACUCACGGAUUCAUCCCUCUACUGCUAUCGAAUUUGCUUUUCAUGGUCGGGGCAUCGUAUUACCAUUAUCUUAACUUCCUAGGAUAUGACGGUAAGUCUCAUAAAUUUUAUUGUUUCCUUCCACAAAUAAUCUUUUGACAUUGUUUGCUAUGAAUGAAUCCAAUACAGUGCUUCCAUUUUUGGAACGAACGACUUUCUUCCUCUACCCAAUCGGGAUCGUGAUUGUCCUGUCCCCUAUCUGUAAGCUUAGAUCAUUCUUUAGUUUCGCAGUUUCCUCUUUUAGAAAAAAAAAAGGUAAAACAUAAUCUUAAGUUUGUUUUUUUUUUUUAAUAAUUUUUCAGUGAUCUUAAGUGGAUUCAACCCGUCCAAAUAUUUCAUGAACAUGUACUUCAGCCAAAGAUUAUGAGAUAGCAAGCCGCAUCAGUUGAAUCCUAUGGGCUCUGCACUGCACAUACGUUAUCAAGCAAGGAAGAAGAGAGUAUGAUUUCCUUUUUCUUUUUUUACCCGUAACAGACCAUCGUAGUGUUCAGUUUCUGGUACCACUUCAAAGGCUACGUGAUAGAACCAGUUAACAUUUUUUCUAAACCUGACCCCAUUUAGCAAGACUUUGUUUUUUUUUUUUUUUUGAUCAAAAGCAAGACUUUGUUAAAUGUAGUGUUUUUAGGGGCAUCUUCCUAUUGUCUCUUUUUCUUUUCAAAUUCAUUGUAUUUUUUAUAUGUUACGUGUUGAGAUGAAUCUUUGGUUUUGUUAAAGUCUUGGGUACUCAUUACUGUAUUAAGAGAAGACCAAUCGUAGCUUCUCUCGCCCAGUUAUGUUUCCCAAGAUUUCCACUUACGCAGUGACACCAUUAAUGAUUAAACAACUCAACAAGCUGCUCAGAGCCAUCUUCACUAGUUACCUUUAUUGAAAACCUUUAGGAUCUGUACAUAGGACCUUGAGUAAUUUAGCCUCAAGUAGAGAAGCGGGAAUGAAUAUAAUGUGCUUGGCCUGGUCCUAUAAACCUUUCGCAUAGUCUCAAAUAAGGGUUUGACAAAAUAUCUGUAAAUUUUAAUUCAAUUUAUUAUCUAUUUGAAUAUUUAGAAGUCUAUGAAAUAAAUCAAGUACUAAUACGUAAUAUCGGUAAAAGAAAAAUGAAACAAAUCACAAAUACUAAUAUUUUUAAGAAUAAAUAUAUGAUUUGUUAUUUUCAUAUAUACACAUAUAUUUAUUGAAUUGCAUAUAAACUAUAUAAUUAUUAUAAUUUAUGUAAUUUUAAUAAUAUUUAAUAUGUAUGAGGAGAAUGUGGAAGUACAGGGAAGCACUUCUGUACUACACAUACUUUUGGUAUACAUAAAAAUUUAUAUAUCUAUAUCCGUAAGAGGAGAAUGCGGGGUGCAACGAAUAGCUAUGUACUAUAAGCGCAUUGGUUGUUAUGUGUGGCGCAUUAGGUGCCGUGUUUGUUUCAUGCUAGAGCUAGGCCUACAUAGUCGUAGUGUUAUGUACUGAGUCAGUGGUUUGCGGUUUAGCAUCACAUACCUCACUGAGUGACUCCCCUGUUGCUCACCCCUCUUUUCGAGCAUGAGUGAUUGCUAUCGGAUUGGUGCUUUUGGACGUUUACUUCUUUCCAUUUCAGACUUGCGGGUUUUAUGGUUUUAUCGUAUUUUUCUGGAUUUAUUACAUUAUUUGAAUUUAUGACUAUUUGUCGGAUUUAUGAUAUGUGCAGACGAUUUAUGAGGAUUAAUAAAUAGAGAUUUCAAGAUUAUUAUUUAUUAUUUUAUUUUGGAGAGUACGGGUAUUACAUUUUCAUUCCAUCAAUUCUUAAACAUGUAAACAAGUUACAACUUACAGCCUAAAUAUAAGUAAAUUGUGGAACUGUUUUGUAUCAAACGCAUACGGCAACGGAAAAAGAAGCGUUUGGGUGCGGAGGAAGCAAAUCAAUCCCUAAACCCGAAAAAUAGCCAAAGGGGAAACCUGAGAGAGAGAAACGAAACGAAGAAGACGAAGAGCAGCAAGCAACAGUAGAAAGAGCAACGAAAGGAGAAGACGAAGAUGUUACCCACAACUUCCAGAUCUCGCUCUUCUUCUUCAUCAUCCCG